GCUCUGGCUGCCGCUACCGCUUCUUCCGGUUGAGGCCACGCCCCUUCCGGUUGAGGCCCCACCCUUUGCCCAGGACUCCAGCGUACCGGGUCCAGCAAGACUUCUCUGCCCUCUGCUGGAGGCAUCAGUGUCUUGCCACUCCCUGUUAAAGAAAAUCCGCUCUGAUUGGGCUGCCAACACGAUUUACUCCUCCAAAGAAUUAGAAGGCCAAAGUAGACUGGUGGAGACGCUGACUAAGAAGGCUUGGCUACUUCCUCUCAGGGGGUGACAGGAUCAGGAUACCAGGCGUGGGGACUUCUGGAUGCCCCUUGAACAGGAGAGAUUUUGAAGGACUCUACCCUGGAAGGGGGGAAAUGUUGAGUGACCUCGCCAGAGGGCCAAAUCACUAAGAGGGAGCAACAGUUAAUGAAGUGAGAGUAGGGCUGUGGCCUGAGAGUGAGAGGCAGAGAAACGGCAUGCGACCGCAGGAAGAGGCAUUGGUCUCAUGGAGCGAAUCCCCAGAACAGCCAGGAGGAGGCACCAUUCCAGCAAUGAGUAGAGCACACAUGUGAGUAUUGAUAGUUAUUACAAUGUAUUAAAGAGAAGACAAAGUAUCAAGAAUUUGGUAUUUUGACAGUAAAAGCAAUAUAAAUACACAUCAGUGUCUAAUCCUGCAUGGUGUGAAUGUCUACUGUGAACAGGGCUGUGCAACACAUCUGCUCUUUCAGAGUCUGUUCUGGUUUGGCUACCCACCGUUUGAGACUUACACCUGUCUUAUUUUGAAGCCUCUGGACUGCUGACUCCCAAGAUAGAUAAUCUAGUUUUAAGGUUUUGAAACUGUGUGAAUGUAAUUUAUACUCUUUACACUUCCACUGAAGAAUGCAUCCCAUCAUGUCAUACAAACAUGUGACGUUAUUCUUGCUGGCAUAUUGGAGAGAUCAUAUCCUUAGCAUCAAUACCAUGCUGUGAAUUUAUUGUGGGUGAUGACAUGUAUCCACUCACUUAUACACAGCCUAUUUCAGAAUUUCUAGAAAGGCAACUGAAACAACAAAAUUGUCAUCAAGAAAUACAGUAAUAAACUAUGCUAUAAAAAUACUGAGGAUUUGCAGUGCAGAUCUGGAUUUUAUUCCCAUAAGCAUUAGAAUAAAAACCUAGACAUUUGCUGAUUUAAUGCCCACUUCCUCUUAAGAAGUCGUAGCUUCAUGCUACCCUAAAUCACAAACUACAGCAUCUCUUGCCACACUGAAUCUCACUAUGAGACUUUGCUCAUAUCUUGCUCACACAUUGCCCACCUGCAAUAAACUGUGCUUCAAACUGAAAGUGUAUGUAAGGUAACAUGUACCCACCAUUCUCACCCUACUAUUGAGGCUGAACCAACUACUAGAGAAUGACUUCAAGUCACACAGCAUCUCAGAACUACCCUAUUGAAAGUAAAAUGAAACUACCAUGUAGAAAAAUAUGUUCCUAGAAGAUCAUUUUAACUUCAUUCAGUUCAAGCUUGUAUGACUAUCUACACAUUUCCAUGGUCUUUCAGUUUCUAGGGACAGUUUACCCUACUGAUAUCUGAAAGGUAGCAAUCAGUGUGAGUAGGCUCUGAAAAUGUAUAUGAAUUCUUUCACAUACAUGACAGCUUGUUUUGAGCAGGAGAUGCAAGUGAAUGCAUAUAGACACAUGGAUGGAUUUAAGCACGAGGCCACAACUUUAUUAAUGCUCUAUUACAUACCAGGCAUUUAAGUGGGACCAGUGCAGGGUUACAGGGCUCCCAACAUUUAACCUGUAACUUGGGUUAGACUCUCCUCAGCUUAGCCCUUGGAUUCUGCUCAUUCUUCUGAAUCCUCUUUACCCUGAUACCCAUGAGGGGAACAGAAGGUAUGAAAAAGGGGGGACCUUGGUAUGCACAAGCUUCAGAUCUCCUUUCUCCAGCAGACAUAAGGCCCACCAGCAAAAUCCCAGGUGUCUGUCUCUCUCUUUUUUUUUCCCUUUGGGAGCAAGCCCCUUUUUGGCUGUUAUCUGCAGUGGACACUAAGAGUGCCAGCAAUUAGACUGCUCUCAUCCUCCACUGCACAGUACCUGUUUUCUGCCUGAUCCAAUCCCCAGUUGCCAUCGUACAUCAUAAUGGGAAAUUCAUUUACAGACUUAUCCGCGUUCCUUCCCCUGCAUCGAGCUUGCCUGUGCUUCACUGCCAGGCUGACUGGACUGUGGUGGAGUCUCAAAUUGGUCCUGGCUCACGGCAUAGCUAGAAAGUUGCAUGUCCCCCAUCUCCUCCUCAUCCUCACUGUUCACAUCGGGAAUCUGUGUCUCAGGCGCCUCAGAGGUAUCCACAGUGGUAUGGUGGUGGAGUCUCUGCCAGAUAUGGCAUGCAGCUCUUUGUAAAAGCAUAAGGUCUUAAACUUUGAACCAGAUUGACUGUUGGCCUCCCUGGCCUUCUGAUAUGCAUGCCACAAUUUCUUUGCUUGCACACAGCACUGUUGCUGAUCCCUCUCGUACUCUCUUGCAUCCCCUGUCCACAUUUCUACAUCUGGUCCAUGGCUGUGCCUGCACAGCCUCUUCUUCCCACAGCCCAGGAGAUCCAGUAUCUCCUGUCAACUCCAGAAUGGAGCAUGCCUGGAGCGUGUAGCAAACAUGGGCAGCUGGGCAGUUGCACACAAGAAUGGAGAGCUGCUAGGUGUGUUGCCAAGCUGGACAAUCAGGAAAAGGCAUUUCAAAAAUCACAGGGUUUUAAAGGAGAGGCUUCCAGUCUCCAUGGCCCCUGGGCAGUGGAGUUCACAAUUAUAACCAGAGCAGUUGGUAUAGGGCAUUAUAGGACAGCUGCUGGAGGAUAUAGGGUCAAUAUAGGUAAGGCAGUAUCUACACUUCACUGCAUUGACCUCAGUACGAUUGACUGUAGCUCAACGUGCUGGGUGAGGUGGUGUUACUGUGUUGCCAUAAUGGGGUGCUUAUAUUGGUGUGAAUCAAAUUUAACUGAUGACACAUGGACAACUAGGUCAAUGCAAGACACCUUACAUCAGGGCCACCCAGAGGAUACAGGGGGCCUGGGGCAAAGCUGGGGAGCUGCGGCGCUUGUACUCACCCGGCGGCGGUCCAGGUCUCUGGUGGCAUUUUGGUGGCGGGGGGCUUUUAGUCGCUCUGCAUCUUUGG
This is a long non-coding RNA of Mauremys reevesii (Reeves's turtle), 3117 nucleotides long. RefSeq lists it as uncharacterized. The transcript has 3 exons. Lineage: Eukaryota; Metazoa; Chordata; Testudines; Geoemydidae. The record is from RefSeq and is a predicted model, not a curated record.